AUGAUAGAUUUGUUUGGCCUGCCACCUCUUUUGGUUAAUGAAACUAUUUUAACUUUUGAACACGUGAUGCAAAGGCUUGUAAUUAUUGAAAAUAAAGUUGCCACUGUGGAGUUGAUUGAAAAUUUGGAUAAAAAGAUCCGCAACCAAAUUACUCAAUAUGGAUCUAAGGUAGGAGUUACUCUGAGUUUUUUUAAAGAAAAAGAACCCAUAGUUAAUGAAAGCAUAGAUCAAGAUUCCACUAGAAUUGGUAAACUUGAGGAUAUCAUUACCAACUUAGGGCCUGCUUUUUCUGCCGUGAGAAAUACUUCAAAUCCUCCUACUACCAGAGUUGCCAAAUUUAUGUAUGUUCCUAAAAAUAAGGGUGAAUCUUCUAGUAAGGAAACUGCGGAUCUCAAAUCAAUAAGUGUUCACCCCAAUUUCUUCGCUAUUAUUAAGGAACCUUUUGCUACAAAUGAAUUUCUUAAUUUCUUGCCUAGGAGUUUGAUAAUUAGUAAAAAUAAGGAAACUACUAAGGGUUAUAAGUGUUCAAUUGAAGAAUUGCCAACCAAGUAUGAUAAUACCUAG
Molecule: ribosomal RNA, 564 nt
Filed under: Triticum aestivum (bread wheat)
Lineage: Eukaryota; Viridiplantae; Streptophyta; Magnoliopsida; Poales; Poaceae
Description: partial small subunit ribosomal RNA
Source: RNAcentral